This 253-nucleotide ribosomal RNA is filed under the name uncultured bacterium. RNAcentral's name for it is "partial 16S ribosomal RNA". It matches the Rfam family "Bacterial small subunit ribosomal RNA", at positions 524 to 776 of the family's 1533-position model. The record is from RNAcentral.
UACAGAGGUCUCAAACGUUGUUCGGAUUCAUUGGGCGUAAAGGGUGCGUAGGUGGCGCGCUAAGUCAGGUGUGAAAUUUCGGAGCUUAACUCCGAAACUGCAUUUGAUACUGGCGUGCUUGAGGACUGGAGAGGAGACUGGAAUUCAUGGUGUAGCAGUGAAAUGCGUAGAGAUCAUGAGGAAGACCAGUGGCGAAGGCGGGUCUCUGGACAGUUCCUGACACUGAGGCACGAAGGCCAGGGGAGCAAACGGG